RNAcentral lists this ribosomal RNA (482 nucleotides) under uncultured bacterium. RNAcentral's name for it is "partial 16S ribosomal RNA". It matches the Rfam family "Bacterial small subunit ribosomal RNA", at positions 30 to 507 of the family's 1533-position model. The record is from RNAcentral.
AUUGAACGCUGGCGGCAUGCUUUACACAUGCAAGUCGAACGGUAACAGGCCGCAAGGUGCUGACGAGUGGCGAACGGGUGAGUAAUGCAUCGGAAUGUGCCCAGUCGUGGGGGAUAACUACUCGAAAGAGUAGCUAAUACCGCGUACGAUCUAUGGAUGAAAGCGGGGGACCGUAAGGCCUCGCGCGAUUGGAGCGGCCGAUGUCAGAUUAGGUAGUUGGUGGGGUAAAGGCUCACCAAGCCAACGAUCUGUAGCUGGUCUGAGAGGACGACCAGCCACACUGGGACUGAGACACGGCCCAGACUCCUACGGGAGGCAGCAGUGGGGAAUUUUGGACAAUGGGCGCAAGCCUGAUCCAGCAAUGCCGCGUGCAGGAAGAAGGCCUUCGGGUUGUAAACUGCUUUUGUACGGAACGAAACGGCUCUGGUUAAUACCCGGGGCUAAUGACGGUACCGUAAGAAUAAGCACCGGCUAACUACGUG